AAUAACAGCUGUAUUACAUCUGAGGGUUGUGCUGAUCUGAUGUCAGGUUUUAUUUUAAAUCCUUCACAUAUAAGACAUCUGGAUCUGAGUGGAAAUAACCUUGAAGACUCAGGAAUGAAGAAGAUCUCUGAUCUGUUGACCAAUCCACAAUGCAAACUACAGACACUCAGACUCUCAUGCUGUAGUAUUGGAGAAGAAGGUUAUGUUGCUUUAUGUUCAGCUGUGAGAUCAAACCCAUCACAUCUGACAGAGCUGGAUCUCAGUGGAAAUGAUCCUGGAAAAUCAGGAGUCAAACUCAUCCAUGAUUUAAUACAAGAUCCCAAAUGUGCAUUGAAAAAAUUCAGGUGAAAUAUGCCUUACAUAAAAUUAAAUCAUCAUGUAGUCACCCUCAAGCCAACCUGUACAUGAUUAUCAUAUGGGGAUUGGAAGCAAAAAAAAACAAUGUUUUUUUGCCCCUGGAAAAAACAUUUACUGGAGUAGAUGCCAUUUUCAAAUUCUGUUGUCUUUUAUUAAAUAAAAGACUAUCAGUCAGAAUUCUGGGAAUAGUUCACUCCCGACUAUCCACACUUUAUUCAUUUUAACUUACCACCUCUGUUCAGACACAUCUGAGGAGCUGUUCUUUACUGAAACCGAUGUCAGUCAACCUCAUUCUUUUUUCUUUUCUUGCAUGGAUGUUUAAAGUAGUUUAGUAAAAAAUAGCCUACUUAGUUUGUCAGUAGUAUAUGGUUCUCAUUUUAGUUAUGUGACCAAUUUAAUCAAAUUUUCUCUGUUACAUCAAUGUUGACAGUAAAAUGUUUUUUAAAAAUUCUGCCCUAAGAACCUGGCAAGACGUCUUUGUAUCCCAGUGUUCCCUAGCCUGGCUGCGGCCU
Paramisgurnus dabryanus is the source of this 869-nucleotide non-coding RNA. NCBI's taxonomy places the organism in Eukaryota, Metazoa, Chordata, Actinopteri, Cypriniformes, Cobitidae. The record is from RefSeq and is a predicted model, not a curated record.